GUGGGUAUAGCUCAGUGGUAGAGCACAUGUGUAACAUGCCUGAGGUCCUGGGUUCAGUCCCCAGUACUUCCA
Molecule: transfer RNA, 72 nt
Filed under: Camelus bactrianus (Bactrian camel)
Lineage: Eukaryota; Metazoa; Chordata; Mammalia; Artiodactyla; Camelidae
Also listed under: 3 other names
Rfam family: tRNA
About the family: Transfer RNA (tRNA) molecules are approximately 80 nucleotides in length. Their secondary structure includes four short double-helical elements and three loops (D, anti-codon, and T loops). Further hydrogen bonds mediate the characteristic L-shaped molecular structure. tRNAs have two regions of fundamental functional importance: the anti-codon, which is responsible for specific mRNA codon recognition, and the 3' end, to which the tRNAs corresponding amino acid is attached (by aminoacyl-tRNA synthetases). tRNAs cope with the degeneracy of the genetic code in two manners: having more than one tRNA (with a specific anti-codon) for a particular amino acid; and 'wobble' base-pairing, i.e. permitting non-standard base-pairing at the 3rd anti-codon position.
Source: Rfam by way of RNAcentral